This 292-nucleotide ribosomal RNA is filed under the name uncultured bacterium. RNAcentral describes it as "partial 16S ribosomal RNA". The record is from RNAcentral.
GGACUACCAGGGUAUCUAAUCCCGUUCGCUCCCCUGGCUUUCGCACCUGAGCGUCAGGCGCCAGCCAGGACCCUGCCUUCGCCAUUGGUGUUCCUCCGGAUCUCUACGCAUUUCACCGCUCCACCCGGAAUUCCAGGUCCCUCUCUGGCCCUCCAGUCAAGCAGUCUGUGCGACCCUUGGGCAGUUAAGCCGCCCACUGUCCCCGCACUCUUACUCGACCGCCUGCGUGCGCUUUACGCCCAGUAACUCCGGACAACGCUUGCCCCCUACGUAUUACCGCGGCUGCUGGCAC